This 622-nucleotide long non-coding RNA is filed under the name Homo sapiens (human). RNAcentral's name for it is "non-protein coding lnc-HPS3-2:3". Lineage: Eukaryota; Metazoa; Chordata; Mammalia; Primates; Hominidae. The record is from RNAcentral.
UUUAUGGUGUAAUGCAAAAAAGGUCAUGCAGUCCGUAUUUCUGUUCUGUUUUGUGGUAGUUACUCUUCUCAUCAAAAGGCAUGUGGCAGGAAGUGGGGAGAAUUCUCUGAGCCUUAGGACUAUUUAAAUAGGAGGGAGAGGGGCCGGGCGGAGUGGCUCACGCCUGUAAUCCCAGCACUUUGGGAGGCCGAGGCAGGUGGAUCACGAGGUCAGGAGAUGGAGACCAUCCUGGCUAACACGGUGAGACCCCGAAAUUGUGUAACUCUGGAAUUUUAGAGGUGUGACUGCGUGACAAUUCUGAGAGGCCAAUGCCAAUGAGAGAAAAGUUUACUGCUACUCAUGAUGGCGCCCCUGGAAGCAGAAGACACAGCACGCUAUAGAGGGCCAUGUGGGAAAGCACUGGAGUAGCUCCAGGCCGGGCUUGCCAGUCUCUCUGCACUCUGGAAGGAGUUUGCCUGGGUUGGGGUUGUCCCUUGGUAGAUUCCAAACCUUCAUUUUGUCAAUUUACUUAAAGGUGACUGGGUUUAAAGGGGCUGACUGAUUGUAAAUAACUUGGAGAAUAAAUCAAUAUUCAUUAAUAAAGUUAAAUAAUUCACGUAAAAUUAAAGUAUAAUAGGCAUAA